AGUCAAGUAAUUAAGUGCAUGUGGUGGAUGCCUUGGCAGUCAGAGGCGAUGAAAGACGUGAUAGCCUGCGAAAAGCUCCGGGGAGGCGGCAAAUAUCCUUUGAUCCGGAGAUGUCUGAAUGGGGGAACCCACCUACUUUAAGGUAGGUAUUGCAACAUGAAUACAUAGUGUUGCAAGGCGAACGAGGGGAAGUGAAACAUCUCAGUACCCUUAGGAAAAGAAAUCAAUUGAGAUUCCCUCAGUAGCGGCGAGCGAACGGGGAUCAGCCCAUUAAGUUAUGUGUGUUUUAGUGGAACGCUCUGGGAAGUGCGAACGUAGAGGGUGAUAUUCCCGUACACGAAAGGGCACACAUAAUGAUGACGAGUAGGGCGAGGCACGUGAAACCUUGUCUGAAUAUGGGGGGACCAUCCUCCAAGGCUAAAUACUCCUGACUGACCGAUAGUGAACCAGUACCGUGAGGGAAAGGCGAAAAGAACCCCUGUGAGGGGAGUGAAAUAGAUCCUGAAACCGCAUGCAUACAAGCAGUGGGAGCACCUUCGUGGUGUGACUGCGUACCUUUUGUAUAAUGGGUCAGCGACUUAUAUUCAGUAGCAAGGUUAACCGUAUAGGGGAGCCGUAGAGAAAUCGAGUCUUAAUAGGGCGUUUAGUUGCUGGGUAUAGACCCGAAACCAGGCGAUCUAUCCAUGAGCAGGUUGAAGGUUGGGUAACACUAACUGGAGGACCGAACCCACUGUCGUUGAAAAGCCAGGGGAUGACUUGUGGAUAGGGGUGAAAGGCUAAUCAAGCCUGGUGAUAGCUGGUUCUCCCCGAAAGCUAUUUAGGUAGCGCCUCGGACGAAUACCAUAGGGGGUAGAGCACUGUUUCGGCUAGGGGGUCAUCCCGACUUACCAAACCGAUGCAAACUCCGAAUACCUAUGAGUACUAUCCGGGAGACAGACUGCGGGUGCUAACGUCCGUAGUCAAGAGGAAAACAAUCCAGACCGCCAGCUAAGGCCCCAAAAUCAUAGUUAAGUGGGAAACGAUGUGGGAAGGCAUAGACAGCUAGGAGGUUGGCUUAGAAGCAGCCACCCUUUAAAGAAAGCGUAAUAGCUCACUAGUCGAGUCGGCCUGCGCGGAAGAUGUAACGGGGCUAAAACUAUGUGCCGAAGCUGCGGAUAUUGACAUUAGUCAAGUGGUAGGGGAGCGUUCUGUAAGCCGAUGAAGGUGUGUUGAGAAGCAUGCUGGAGGUAUCAGAAGUGCGAAUGCUGACGUGAGUAACGACAAAACGGGUGAAAAACCCGUUCGCCGAAAGACCAAGGGUUCCAGUCCAACGUUAAUCGGGGCUGGGUGAGUCGACCCCUAAGGCGAGGCCGAAAGGCGUAGUCGAUGGGAAAAUGGUUAAUAUUCCAUUACUUCUGUGUAAUGCGAUGAGAGGACGGAGAAGGCUAAAUCAGCCUGGCGUUGGUUGUCCAGGUGAAAGGAUGUAGGCAUGUAUCUUAGGUAAAUCCGGGGUACUCUAUGCUGAGAUCUGAUAGCAAGCUGUACUUGUACAGCGAAGUGGUUGAUGCCAUGCUUCCAGGAAAAGUCUCUAAGCUUCAGUUACACAGGAAUCGUACCCGAAACCGACACAGGUGGUCAGGUCGAGUAGACCAAGGCGCUUGAGAGAACUCUGCUGAAGGAACUAGGCAAAAUGGUACCGUAACUUCGGGAGAAGGUACGCUGUUGUUGGUGAUGGAACUCGCUUCCUGAGCUGACGACAGCCGCAGAAACCAGGCCGCUGCAACUGUUUAUUAAAAACAUAGCACUCUGCAAACACGAAAGUGGACGUAUAGGGUGUGAUGCCUGCCCGGUGCUGGAAGGUUAAUUGAUGGGGUUAGCGUAAGCGAAGCUCUUGAUCGAAGCCCCAGUAAACGGCGGCCGUAACUAUAACGGUCCUAAGGUAGCGAAAUUCCUUGUCGGGUAAGUUCCGACCUGCACGAAUGGCAUAAUGAUGGCGGCGCUGUCUCCAGCAGAGGCUCAGUGAAAUCGAAAUCGCUGUGAAGAUGCAGUGUACCCGCGGCUAGACGGAAAGACCCCGUGAACCUUUACUGCAGCUUGACACUGAACUUUGACCUUACUUGUGUAGGAUAGGUGGGAGGCUUUGAAGCUGGAACGCUAGUUCCAGUGGAGCCGUCCUUGAAAUACCACCCUGGUAAUGUUGAGGUUCUAACUCUGUCCCGUGAUCCGGGACGAGGACCGUGUCUGGUGGGUAGUUUGACUGGGGCGGUCUCCUCCUAAAGAGUAACGGAGGAGUACGAAGGUGCGCUCAGCGUGGUCGGAAAUCACGCGUAGAGUAUAAAGGCAAAAGCGCGCUUAACUGCGAGACCCACAAGUCGAGCAGGUACGAAAGUAGGUCUUAGUGAUCCGGUGGUUCUGUAUGGAAGGGCCAUCGCUCAACGGAUAAAAGGUACUCUGGGGAUAACAGGCUGAUACCGCCCAAGAGUUCAUAUCGACGGCGGUGUUUGGCACCUCGAUGUCGGCUCAUCUCAUCCUGGGGCUGAAGCAGGUCCCAAGGGUAUGGCUGUUCGCCAUUUAAAGAGGUACGCGAGCUGGGUUUAGAACGUCGUGAGACAGUUCGGUCCCUAUCUACCGUGGGCGCUGGAAAUUUGAGAGGAUCUGCUCCUAGUACGAGAGGACCAGAGUGGACGAACCUCUGGUGUACCGGUUGUGACGCCAGUCGCAUCGCCGGGUAGCUAUGUUCGGAAGGGAUAACCGCUGAAAGCAUCUAAGCGGGAAGCCUACCUCAAGAUAAGAUUUCCCUAGGACUUUAUGUCCUCUAAAGAGCCGUUCGAGACUAGGACGUUGAUAGGUUGGAUGUGGAAGCAUAGUGAUAUGUGAAGCUGACCAAUACUAAUUGCUCGUGAGGCUUGACUAU
RNAcentral lists this ribosomal RNA (2893 nucleotides) under Acinetobacter baumannii. Its description in RNAcentral is "23S ribosomal RNA". It matches the Rfam family "Bacterial large subunit ribosomal RNA". Lineage: Bacteria; Pseudomonadati; Pseudomonadota; Gammaproteobacteria; Moraxellales; Moraxellaceae. The record is from RNAcentral.